RNAcentral lists this unclassified non-coding RNA (216 nucleotides) under uncultured fungus. RNAcentral's name for it is "partial contains 18S rRNA, ITS1, 5.8S rRNA, ITS2 and 28S rRNA". Lineage: Eukaryota; Fungi. The record is from RNAcentral.
AAGGAUCAUUAACGAAUCAUAAGUCGGCCUUGCUGUUGCUGGUGGAGAGAUCCACAUGUGCACGCUCGGUCGCAAAUCCACACACCUGUGCAUCUAUGACUCGAGGUUGUCGUCGUAUGACCGAGAGUAACUUUUACACACUCUUGAAUGUAACGGAAUGUCUCUUGUGCGUAAUGUACAAUUAAACAACUUUCAACAACGGAUCUCUUGGCUCUC